GGGGAUGACUGGCUUUGACAGCGAGAUGAAUAGGUUUGUAAGCAUGCCGAGCAUGGUGAGACGGCUCGUAAAUAUCCAAUUCACAUUUUUUUAAACGGCGAGUCUAACUACGCUUUAGCUGCCUAAUCUAGGAUUAGAACAGCUUUUGCUCCGAGGAUAGAAGAAGGUUUAUCGCUUCCGUCCCACUGAGCAUCAAGAAAAGGAUGAACUAGCAAAUAAGGAUGCCUUGACUUAAACGCGAAAUUAAAAGGAUAAGGUUUGGUUUUGGGAAUGUCUUCUUCCCGACCUUACUCGAAAAUUAAUUGAGGACUAAGCAUGAAGAAAGCUUUCACAUUCCUUGUUUGGACCAGGGUUCGAUUCCCUGCAUCUCCACUA
Molecule: transfer-messenger RNA, 375 nt
Filed under: Flavobacteriales bacterium
Lineage: Bacteria; Pseudomonadati; Bacteroidota; Flavobacteriia; Flavobacteriales
Rfam family: transfer-messenger RNA
About the family: Bacterial tmRNA, also known as 10Sa RNA or SsrA, is named for its dual tRNA and mRNA-like properties. Its role is to liberate the mRNA from a stalled ribosome. To accomplish this part of the tmRNA is used as a reading frame that ends in a translation stop signal.
Source: RNAcentral